This 543-nucleotide ribosomal RNA is filed under the name uncultured Planctomycetota bacterium. RNAcentral describes it as "bacterial SSU rRNA". It matches the Rfam family "Bacterial small subunit ribosomal RNA", at positions 505 to 1045 of the family's 1533-position model. The record is from RNAcentral. Lineage: Bacteria; Pseudomonadati; Planctomycetota.
GUGCCAGCAGCCGCGGUAAUACGUAUGGUGCAAACGUUGUUCGGAAUCACUGGGCAUAAAGAGCACGUAGGCGGUCUGGUAAGUCUGUCUGUGGAAUCCCUCGGCUCAACCGAGGAACUGCAGCGGAUACUGCCGGACUGGAGUACAGGAGGGGAGAGUGGAAUUCCUGGUGGAGCGGUGAAAUGCGUAGAUAUCAGGAGGAACGCCGGUGGCGAAAGCGACUCUCUGGCCUGUUACUGACGCUGAGGUGCGAAAGCCAGGGGAGCAAACGGGAUUAGAUACCCCGGUAGUCCUGGCCCUAAACGAUGGGCACUAAGUGGAGGAGGUUCCGAUGCCUUCUCCGCUGCAGCAAAUGUGUUAAGUGCCCCGCCUGGGGAGUAUGGUCGCAAGGCUAAAACUCAAAGGAAUUGACGGGGGCUCACACAAGCGGUGGAGCACGUUGUUCAAUUCGAAGCAACGCGAAGAACCUUACCUGGGUUUGACAUGCUUGGGACCGCCUAUGAAAGUAGGCUUUCCUUCGGGACCCUUGCACAGGGUGUUGCA